Molecule: long non-coding RNA, 517 nt
Filed under: Gopherus agassizii (Agassiz's desert tortoise)
Lineage: Eukaryota; Metazoa; Chordata; Testudines; Testudinidae
Description: lncRNA (ENSGAGG00000004330.1)
Source: RNAcentral
UCCUGGUCCCCCCGGCCCACGGCUGCAUCUUCUCGUUCCACCCGCUGAGCACGACCUUCUCCAUGGCCAUCGACGAGCUGGUGAGCGGUGUCCCCGUUGGGCCCCCAGGGGCCCCCCAUCACCCUCCCAGCACGGCCCCACNNNNNUCAUCCCCCCGUCUCCCCCUCUCCUUCAGACCCAGCACCUGCUCCACGAUUACCCCGUCUCGAUGCCGUCGAACCUGGAACCGGACACCUGGUGCGCUGAGCUGUGGAGGAUCCAUUUCCUGGCAGCGGAGCUGGGGCACAUGGGGGGCGUCGCGGGCCCGGCCCUGCAGCCCCUCGUGGCCACUGUGACCAAGCAGGUCCAGUUCGUCCAGGAGUGCGGCAUUACCGAUCCCAUGGGCUGCGUGGGGUGGGAACGCACCAACGUGUCAUGGAUGCUGAGUGCCCUGAACGGCCACCUGGCGGCGCUGAGGAGCAAAAUCCUACGUCAGGCGGGGCCCAUCGACUUCAGUAACUGCACCCCCGUCCGCUGC